RNAcentral lists this transfer RNA (60 nucleotides) under Loxodonta africana (African savanna elephant). It matches the Rfam family "tRNA", at positions 6 to 65 of the family's 71-position model. From Rfam's summary of the family: Transfer RNA (tRNA) molecules are approximately 80 nucleotides in length. Lineage: Eukaryota; Metazoa; Chordata; Mammalia; Proboscidea; Elephantidae. The record is from Rfam by way of RNAcentral.
AGUAGCAUAAUGGUUAAGCAGUUGGCUGCUAACCAAAAGGUCGGAGGUUUGAACCUGCCU